This 301-nucleotide ribosomal RNA is filed under the name uncultured bacterium. Its description in RNAcentral is "partial 16S ribosomal RNA". It matches the Rfam family "Bacterial small subunit ribosomal RNA", at positions 509 to 807 of the family's 1533-position model. The record is from RNAcentral.
CAGCCGCCGCGGUAAAACGAAGGGGGCUAGCGUUGUUCGGAUUUACUGGGCGUAAAGGGCGCGUAGGCGGACUGAUAAGUCAGGGGUGAAAUCCCAAGGCUCAACCUUGGAACCGCCUUUGAUACUGUUUGUCUUGAGUUCGAGAGAGGUAAGUGGAACUGCGAGUGUAGAGGUGAAAUUCGUAGAUAUUCGCAAGAACACCAGUGGCGAAGGCGGCUUACUGGCUCGAAACUGACGCUGAGGCGCGAAAGCGUGGGGAGCAAACAGGAUUAGAUACCCCCGUAGUCCCUGUCUCUUAUAC